UACGUAGGGUGCAAGCGUUUGUCCGGAAUUAUUGGGCGUAAAGAGCUCGUAGGCGGUCUGUCGCGUCUGCUGUGAAAACCUAGGGCUUAACUCUGGGCGUGCAGUGGGUACGGGCAGGCUAGAGUGCGGUAGGAGGGACAGGAAUUCCUGGUGUAGCGGUGAAAUGCGCAGAUAUCAGGAGGAACACCGGUGGCGAAGGCGGUCUCUGGGCCGAUGUUCACGCUGAGGAGCGAAAA
Molecule: ribosomal RNA, 236 nt
Filed under: uncultured bacterium
Lineage: Bacteria
Description: partial 16S ribosomal RNA
Rfam family: Bacterial small subunit ribosomal RNA
Source: RNAcentral